AGUGAACGCUGGCGGUAGGCCUAACACAUGCAAGUCGAACGGCAGCACAGUAAGAGCUUGCUCUUACGGGUGGCGAGUGGCGGACGGGUGAGGAAUACAUCGGAAUCUACUUUUUCGUGGGGGAUAACGUAGGGAAACUUACGCUAAUACCGCAUACGACCUACGGGUGAAAGCAGGGGAUCUUCGGACCUUGCGCGAUUGAAUGAGCCGAUGUCGGAUUAGCUAGUUGGCGGGGUAAAGGCCCACCAAGGCGACGAUCCGUAGCUGGUCUGAGAGGAUGAUCAGCCACACUGGAACUGAGACACGGUCCAGACUCCUACGGGAGGCAGCAGUGGGGAAUAUUGGGCAAUGGGCGCAAGCCUGAUCCAGCAAUACCGCGUGGGUGAAGAAGGCCUUCGGGUUGUAAAGCCCUUUUGUUAGGAAAGAAAAGCAGCAGGUUAAUACCCCGCUGUUCUGACGGUACCCAAAGAAUAAGCACCGGCUAACUUCGUG
This 492-nucleotide ribosomal RNA is filed under the name uncultured bacterium. RNAcentral describes it as "partial 16S ribosomal RNA". It matches the Rfam family "Bacterial small subunit ribosomal RNA", at positions 29 to 507 of the family's 1533-position model. The record is from RNAcentral.